Molecule: long non-coding RNA, 1230 nt
Organism: Epinephelus fuscoguttatus (brown-marbled grouper)
Lineage: Eukaryota; Metazoa; Chordata; Actinopteri; Perciformes; Serranidae
Exons: 3
Source: RefSeq, a predicted model, not a curated record
UCAGUCCCGCCCCUUUGUAUCCUGCAGCUGCGUAAAGUAGAUCCCGGGCUUCCUGUUGGAGCUAGGACCGCGACCCAUCUAUGAAACUGGUCUGGACUCGAGGUCUGGAAGUGGAUGGGGGCUCAUUAUCGUAUUUAGGGCAUAAGAAAGCAGGACAAAGUAACAAUAAGAGCCAAUAAGAAGACUUGUUGUGCGCGCCCUCCACCUCCCCAUCACAACCUGGCCUUUACGGAUUCAUCAGCCUCUUCGGCCUCAGCAGUCAGCAGUCUCGGAGUCAUCAGCCACCUCCACCACCACCAGUGUCUGGACUCCAAGGGGAGAUUUGUCCUGCUGCUGCUCACAUGUUCCUCAAACACAAAAUAUCUCCCUCUGGUGUCCAAGCACCAAACGACUUCUGUUAAAUCUUAAUCAGCACAAAUCAUCUGUUAAUCUGCACACUCAUAUUUCAUAUCAAAUAUGAUCUGUACGUCAUUCUUCUGUCUCUCCUGAUUGAAAUGCACGUUCUACACCUGUGCAUACUGCACAUAUGAAGUUUUGUGGUGCCAAAAUAAACAAAUAAGCUAAGCAGUUGAAAUACUUUGUGUAUCAGUCAUCAAGAAAAGCAGAAUGAGGGAGAUAAUUGGUGUGAAAAUGAGUGGGCUGAAUCACAGGCAGGAAUUUACAUAAAAGACCAACACACCUGUUAUUUAACUGUUGACGUAGCUUGAUUUUGCCCAUAGCUGACUAUCUAAACAUAAAUCAGUUGAAUAAUUAAUGGAUUACACAACAGAUUGAGAGGCUGUGACUUUUCAAACUGGCAAAGAUCAACAGUGUAUAAGUAAUAUGUAUCAAACAACUUUGUGUGGGCACUCACAAAACUAAAUAGUAAGUUAAACAUGCUGAUGUGUUCAGUUUGGGUUUCUCUAGUCUCCAUUUAAUGCAAGAUUUGGACAUAUGCAACCGGUAAACGAUUCACAACACUGUGAAUGGACUAAAAAAGCAGUACCAAGUGACAGCUCAAGUGUGAGCAGAUUAAACUGAUAUUGAAUGUAUGCAAGAAGUGUUGGCCUCUGCUCCUGGUUGCAGUUGACCUGCAGUGACCCGUGUGAUAGCUUUCACAGAUGCAGCCCGUGCACAUGACAGAUUUGAACUCUUUGCCAAUAUGCAUUCAUGAGUGGCAUGGGUAUCAGCGAAUAGCCUGAGUAGGACUCGGCCAUAGCAGCCAAUCAGAGAUCAUUUCCUCAUCGCGGC